AGCGAACGCUGGCGGCAGGCUUAACACAUGCAAGUCGAGCGGGCAUCCUUGUGGUGUCAGCGGCAGACGGGUGAGUAGCGCGUGGGAACGUGCCCUUCGGUUCGGAAUAACUCAGGGAAACUUGAGCUAAUACCGGAUACGUGCGAGAGCAGAAAGGUUUAUCUGCCGAAGGAUCGGCCCGCGUCUGAUUAGCUAGUUGGUGAGGUUAUGGCUCACCAAGGCGACGAUCAGUAGCUGGUCUGAGAGGAUGAUCAGCCACACUGGGACUGAGACACGGCCCAGACUCCUACGGGAGGCAGCAGUGGGGAAUAUUGGACAAUGGGGGCAACCCUGAUCCAGCCAUGCCGCGUGAGUGAUGACGGCCUUAGGGUUGUAAAGCUCUUUUCUUCGGGACGAUAAUGACGGUACCGGAGGAAUAAGCCCCGGCUAACUUCGUG
Molecule: ribosomal RNA, 437 nt
Filed under: uncultured bacterium
Lineage: Bacteria
Description: partial 16S ribosomal RNA
Rfam family: Bacterial small subunit ribosomal RNA
Source: RNAcentral